RNAcentral lists this ribosomal RNA (119 nucleotides) under Pteropus alecto (black flying fox). Lineage: Eukaryota; Metazoa; Chordata; Mammalia; Chiroptera; Pteropodidae. The record is from RNAcentral.
GUCUACAGCCAUGCCACCCUGAACAAGCCCAAUCCCGUCUGAUCUCGGAAGUUAAGCAGGGUCGGGCCUGGUUAGUACUUGGAUGGGAGACCACCUAGAAAGACCAACUGCUGUAGGCA